RNAcentral lists this ribosomal RNA (497 nucleotides) under uncultured bacterium. Its description in RNAcentral is "partial 16S ribosomal RNA". It matches the Rfam family "Bacterial small subunit ribosomal RNA", at positions 28 to 507 of the family's 1533-position model. The record is from RNAcentral.
GAUGAACGCUGGCUGCGUGCCUAAUACAUGCAAGUCGAGCGAACAGACGAGGGACUUUCUCCUCUGACGUUGUCGGCGGACGCGCGAGUAACACGUGGAUAACCUACCUAUCACACUGGGAUAACUUAGGGAAACCGGAUCUAAUACCUGCUAAUAUAUUGCACCUCAUGGUUCACUAGUGAAAUUCGAGUUUUCUUUCACUUAUAGAUGGAUCCGCGCCGCUUUAGCUAGUUGGUAAGUUAACGGCUUACCAAGGCAACGAUGCGUAGCCGACCUGAGAGGGUGGUCGGCUCCACUGGAUCUGAAACACGGCCCAGUCUAAUAUGGGACGCAGCAGUAGAGUAACGUCCGCAAUGCGCGAAAGCCUGACGGGACAACGCCGCGUGGGGUAUAAAGGUCUUCGGCUCGUAGAACUCUGCUACUAGGGAAGAGCAAUAGUGUAAGUAACUAUGCACGUAUUGACGGUACCUAAUCAGAAAGGCCCGGCUAACUCCGUG